AAAUGGAUCAAUAAAAGAGGGAUCAUGUUGCACAACAUCUGCUAGGAAACUUUAAUACAAGUGUGUCAAUCAUACCAAUGGUCCAAAAUGGUAUGCCUAUAACGAUAAGGCAGAGUGUUAUAGAGUUUUACGAAAGUCUGUUGAAGGUUGUUUCUUUGAAGCUGAAUCAAAUGGGAUGAUUUCAUUGGCAACACCAUCAAUGAGCACAGGUA
This 212-nucleotide long non-coding RNA is filed under the name Mytilus galloprovincialis (Mediterranean mussel). Lineage: Eukaryota; Metazoa; Mollusca; Bivalvia; Mytilida; Mytilidae. The record is from RNAcentral.